This is a long non-coding RNA of Leopardus geoffroyi (Geoffroy's cat), 1486 nucleotides long. RefSeq lists it as uncharacterized. NCBI's taxonomy places the organism in Eukaryota, Metazoa, Chordata, Mammalia, Carnivora, Felidae. The record is from RefSeq and is a predicted model, not a curated record. The transcript has 3 exons.
ACAGUUUCAAGGACACUUGUCAACUCUCCUGUGACUGGUCAGCACACUCACAAGACACGGAGAGGCACUGUCAUUGGCUGGUUAUGCCUGUAAAAGGCCAGUCUUUCCCUCAAGGAAACAGAGAAGCCACUGGAGACAGAAGAAGGCAGCAAUGAAGAGUAAAGAGCAGUGAAGACAAGGCUGAGAAGAGACCGGGUUAGAAGUGGCCAGGAGGAAAGUGCGCCACAGAGAGCAGGACAUGCGGAGGAAAUGGCACAGAAGAUUCAGCAGCCUCCCCGUCAAUCCAGCUCUUGAAGGUACUAGAUACUCCUGCAUGGGUGGGGAGAAGAAGGACACCCCAAGAGCUUCCUGCAGCAUUUCAGAACCUCCUCAGGAAGCACUUCUCCAAGUGUGGUCUUCUCAAAUCACUGAGACUACUUCCCUUGGGUUCUCAGACUUCACUUUGAAAUCACCGCAUUAAUCCAUUGGUUUACAGAACAAGGGCAGGCACUGAGGAGGCCUUGGCGUUGCUGACAAAGAGUUAACAACAAAGAGCACAACAGAGAGCAGACAGAUGGGGAAGUCCACAUGGAAGGUGCUCAGAAAUGCUACUGAUUUCUAUUCCAUCAAAUUUCAGGGUGAGAGGGAGGACGCAUUCCUCCGAGGCAAGAGCAUCUUUCCCCUACAAGAAGAACACUGAAAGUCAACAUUUUAAUUCCCUUUGUCUGGCAGGAAGAUGUAUGUGCUGGUGACUAUGAAAGUGUUUAUGACCCAAACAAUAAGCCAAAAUUAAUGAUCAACAAAAACUUAGCAGAAAGGAUAAAAAAGAAAAAAAGAAAGAGAGAGAAAAUAGGAAAAAGGCUAAAAACUCCAAUGUGAAGAUGCAACUAAUACCUCACUAGAAGUCUUUUUCUGCCUAAUGCGGAGAAAUAGAACAGUAGUCUCAACUAGAAACCUUUCUAUAAUUCACUAUUCCCGCCCAGAAUAAAGGAGUGCUUUUUAUGAGCACUGACCCCUUCUUACCCAAAGGUGGCAUCAACCUGAAGAUAAUGAGCUCCAACAACAAAGGUUAGUCUGCUCCAAAGCUACAGGCUCACAAAAUGAUUUGAAACCUGAGAACGGCUCAUGACGGGACUAGACGCUUUAAGAAAAUGACAGUAACUGAACAGACUGAAGCAAAAUUCAUUACUAGUAAGUACUCUACCCACCUUCUCCAAGGCAACAUGAAUAUGGAAGAUAGAUCACCAUCACCUACCACCCAGUCCACAAGUGCACAGGAAAAAUAAAGAAUGGAUAUACUGCAUGUUGGCAUAUAAAGAGCCUCAAAGAUAAAUCAGCUGGCGGGGGGAGGGGGGGGGCAGGUAAGGGCAUGGAACUUAUUCAGGAAAAACUUCUACAGAAGAAAAAGUUAAAGGAAGUGAAGAAUCUUCCAGGAGAAAAUCUAGAUGAAUUCAUUAUGUUCUUGAAGAGACUUAGAAAAUCUCAAAUAGGUCUUCUAGCAAUCAGU